UUUUCAUGCAUUUAUUUUGUCAUGGGGGGGAUUAAAUAAUUUAAAUUCCACAGAUGGAUACAGCACACUGGUUCUUACUUCAGUCAGAAGAAUCGGAAACUUGGAGGCAGAUGUCAGAGUAGAUCUCCAAUUAAUCUUUCAGACAUGUCAACAGUCCUGGGCAUUUAGGAUAGAAGCGCUUUGACGGAUUAAGAAUUGAAGAUUCCUAUACAUUUGUAGUUGGGGUGCUUAGAGCAUGAUUUUGAAUAUUAAUGGACAAUCAGACUAAGGAUCAAACAACCAGGAGAUGUGAACAAGUCUGAUUAACACUGAGGCUCAUCCACUUUAAACAUAUCACUAAACAGCAUGCAGUUAUCAAGCACUGUUUGUGUUGUCUUAUAUUCACAAAUCAUAAUAUAAAACAGUCAUGCUUCCAUUAAUGAAGAAAAAUGUGUUUAAUUAUUUUUUUAUUAUCUGCAUUUUUAAAGUACUGCUAGAAAAUAUUAUCAUUCUUACUUAAAUUUUAAAAAUGUAAAGUAAUAUUGCUGCAAAGACUUUUCAUUUUAACUUGAAUUGCACUCUGGUACGGAGAAAGUUCAGAAAAGGCAAGAAAACUGUGUGCGCUCUCCCAAGAAAAUCUUAAGUUAUUAUAUCCAUAUUCUCCUUGGUAAUAUACAUGUGGUGCAGAUCUACUUCUAGAAAACCCACCACACCUGCUCUUAAAUUCUAGCAAUCAAAUGCCACUGUACGUGACUCCAGUCCUACCAAUGAACUCUACAUAAAUUUCAUUUUUAACAGCAAUAUUGGCUGAUUUCAAGGUCAAUAUAUUAUCAAAUAACACUGCAAACACAGACUGAGAAUCAUAAAAAUGCGGUUGCUUAUUUAAUUGAAUAUGUUUUUAACAAAGCAACUGAUUUUCAAAGUAUUAAAAAAAAAAUUUUUUUUUUAAUUCUGUAUGUCCACAAACAUGAAAGCAAACUACAGAAAAAAAAAACUGUUGGUAAUUUUCUGUAAGUUUCAAAAGAUAGCAGGAUAUACAUGCUGUUUUAUGUUUCUAUGUAUAGCUAUCUACUGGCAAGCGUACAGUGGAACAAAGAUAGACAUCUAGAUAUAUUUUUACCUGCAGUAGACGUGUUUGCAUGGAGAUAGAUUCAUAAUUAGAUAAGUAGACAAUGGAAACUUCUGAAAUUUGUAGCUUUGGUGUGCAUCAAGUCUAUAUGUAGCACCUUUAUUUCUUGAGUGAGAAAUUCUCACACAGCAGUAGAUAUAGAUAUAGAUUUAUUAACGAAA
Trachemys scripta elegans is the source of this 1269-nucleotide long non-coding RNA. RefSeq lists it as uncharacterized. NCBI's taxonomy places the organism in Eukaryota, Metazoa, Chordata, Testudines, Emydidae. The transcript has 3 exons. The record is from RefSeq and is a predicted model, not a curated record.